This 383-nucleotide ribosomal RNA is filed under the name uncultured eukaryote. Its description in RNAcentral is "partial 18S ribosomal RNA". It matches the Rfam family "Eukaryotic small subunit ribosomal RNA", at positions 592 to 976 of the family's 1831-position model. The record is from RNAcentral.
CAAUAGCGUAUAUUAAAGUUGUUGUGGUUAAAAAGCUCGUAGUUGGAUCUCGGCAGGCAGGGGGUGGUUCGCUCUUAGCGCUACUGCCCCAUUUGCCUGUGUGAUUGGCGGAGGUUUCGGGGUGCUCUUCGUUGAGUGACCCGGGGCGCCGUCAGGUUUACUUUGAAAAAAUUAGAGUGCUCAAAGCAGGCUUUUCACGCUUGAAUAUUCGUGCAUGGAAUAAUGGAAUAGGAACUCGUUUCUAUUUUGUUGGUUUUCGGAAAUCGAGUUAAUGAUUAAUAGGGACAAUUGGGGGCAUUAGUAUUCAGACGACAGAGGUGAAAUUCUUGGACCGUCUGAAGACUAACUACUGCGAAAGCAUUUGCCAAGAGUGUGUUCAUUAA